RNAcentral lists this ribosomal RNA (346 nucleotides) under Quasipaa boulengeri (spiny-bellied frog). RNAcentral's name for it is "partial 12S ribosomal RNA". It matches the Rfam family "Bacterial small subunit ribosomal RNA", at positions 870 to 1384 of the family's 1533-position model. The record is from RNAcentral. Lineage: Eukaryota; Metazoa; Chordata; Amphibia; Anura; Dicroglossidae.
CGCCCGGGUAUUACGAGCUUUAGCUUAAAACCCAAAGGACUUGACGGUGUCCCAUCCACCUAGAGGAGCCUGUUCCAUCAUCGAUAAUCCCCGCUACACCUAACCACCCCUUGCCAAUCAGUCUGUAUACCUCCGUCGUAAACUUACCAUGUGAAUGCCCACAGUAAGUUUAAUGGCUAUCAACCACCAAUACGUCAGGUCAAGGUGCAGCUCAUGGGGCGGCAGGCAAUGGGCUACAAUUUCUAUUCUAGAACAGACGAAACGCUACAUGAAAUAAAGCCACGAAGGCGGAUUUAGUAGUAAAAAGAAAAUAGCGCGUUCUUUUUAAUUAGGCCCUGGGACGUGU